GUCUGUUUCCAGGUAGUGGGCAAACAGGAAGUUACCCCAGGCUACCCACCUCCCAGCUGCAAAACCCUUGAACCUGCUUGCCUCAGUAACCAUGGCAAGUCCAGAUGGCUGCCUUAGGAUCAGAUGUAAACCUUGGAGAAACCAGCUGUGGCCAGUAUGUCAAGUUUAAGCAGACAAAUGAAGGUGACCUGUGGUGGGAAUACACAUUUUGAAACUGAAAAGAGAUGGUAUGUGGGGAUGUACGGAGAACUUGUUGGAGUCUCUGUUGUGGACAACGCUUUAUG
This 284-nucleotide long non-coding RNA is filed under the name Homo sapiens (human). Its description in RNAcentral is "non-protein coding lnc-LYRM7-2:1". Lineage: Eukaryota; Metazoa; Chordata; Mammalia; Primates; Hominidae. The record is from RNAcentral.